GGUAGGAAUGGAUGGGCACCCACAGGGAUUCAGAGGGACCCGUUGAAAGACCAUGUUUUGAUCAUCCGGUCUUCAAACACCCUGAAGUGCGAGGACAUACACGGAGGCGAUCAAAUCUUGUGGGGAACGUGUGCAAAACUCUGCAGAGUACUCAAACCUAAUCGAUUAGCCGUGUCCACGGUCAUGGACAACUUGAGCCAAAGGAACUGAAGUUAUCUGAAAUUCUCAACACAAAUCAUAAUAUGGAUGUGGGAAUUAUUGACAACUCGGGUACGAGAACUGGUUGGCGGAACCAUCUCGUUAACAACCAACCUUGUAGUAAUAUUUUGCUUUUAGCCCCUCUUGUUGUAGAAGAAAAUUUGCUUUACGCUAAAAACUUACAACACCACCUGCCAUAUAUGCAUAUAGUAUAGAUG
This 416-nucleotide long non-coding RNA is filed under the name Hordeum vulgare. RNAcentral describes it as "long non-coding RNA (HVUL_LNC003609)". The record is from RNAcentral. Lineage: Eukaryota; Viridiplantae; Streptophyta; Magnoliopsida; Poales; Poaceae.